GUUAUCUAAAAUUAGUAAAAUAUUUUUAUUCACGAAACCAGACGAGCUAAAUCUUUUCCUCUUUAGCGGAUAAUUUUAGUGUAGCAGUACUAAUAAAAUAUUAGAAUUUAGGGGUGAUAGGCCUUUCAAGUCUGGUGAUAUCUUGAUUAUAAGGAAAUAUAUUUAGUAUAAGUUCAAUCUAAAAAUGUUAAGGUUUUUAGGGAGCAUAUUUAUAAAUUAGUAUAUAACUGAUUAUGUAAAAAUUACAGUUUAGUUUAAUUUAACAUAAAAUAUAAUAAAUAUAUGUAAAUUACUUAUAUUUUUUACUUAAUCUUAAUAGAAUUACAAAUGAUUACAUUAGUAUAUUAUUAAUUUAUCUUAAGGAACUCGGCAAACUUUUUUCUCGACUGUUUACCAAAAACAUGCCUUAAGAAAGAAUUUAAGGUUUUCUCUGCUCAAUGAUAAUAUUAAAUAGCCGCAGUACCCUGACUGUGCAAAGGUAGCAUAAUCAGUUGGCUUAUAAUUGAAGUCUAGUAUGAAAGGGAAUUCGGGGAAAAGCUGUCUUAAGUAAAAUUACUAGAAUUUUCUUACUAAGUGAAAAUUCUUAGAAUUAGUAAAAAGACGAGAAGACCCUAGAAAUUUGUGACAAUAAGUAUUAACUUAAGUAUUUUGUUGGGGCGACAAGGUAGCAUAUAAACCUGCCAAAGAGUAUAAGAAACUAAUUAGUUGAGUAAAUAAAUUACUCUAGGGAUAACAGCAUUAUUUAAUAUAAGAUUGUGACCUCGAUGUUGGACUAGGAAAUAUUCUACUUAAAAGGUAGAAUAGAAGGCUCUGUUCGAGCUUAAUUACCUACAUGAUCUGAGUUCAGACCGG
RNAcentral lists this ribosomal RNA (852 nucleotides) under Fruticocampylaea kobensis. RNAcentral's name for it is "partial 16S ribosomal RNA". Lineage: Eukaryota; Metazoa; Mollusca; Gastropoda; Stylommatophora; Hygromiidae. The record is from RNAcentral.